CCUACGGGUGGCAGCAGUGGGGAAUAUUGCACAAUGGGCGCAAGCCUGAUGCAGCAACGCCGCGUGAGCGAAGAAGGUUUUCGGAUCGUAAAGUUCUGUCGUCGAGGACGAAGGAAGUGACGGUACCUAACGAGGAAGCCACGGCUAACUACGUGCCAGCAGCCGCGGUAAUACGUAGGGGGCAAGCGUUAUCCGGAAUUACUGGGGGUAAAGGGCACGUAGGCGGUCUUGAAAGCACGAGGUGAAAGGCAGGGGCUCAACCUUUGUAAGCCUUGUGAACUGCAAGACUUGAGUGCCGGAGAGGAAGACGGAAUUCCUAGUGUAGCGGUGAAAUGCGUAGAUAUUAGGAGGAACACCAGUGGCGAAGGCGGCUUUCUGGACUGUAACUGACGCUGAGGUGCGAAAGCGUGGGGAGCAAACAGGAUUAGAUACCCCAGUAGUC
Molecule: ribosomal RNA, 442 nt
Filed under: uncultured bacterium
Lineage: Bacteria
Description: partial 16S ribosomal RNA
Rfam family: Bacterial small subunit ribosomal RNA
Source: RNAcentral